Paramuricea clavata is the source of this 504-nucleotide non-coding RNA. The record is from the annotation of a GenBank genome assembly. Lineage: Eukaryota; Metazoa; Cnidaria; Anthozoa; Malacalcyonacea; Plexauridae.
AGGAUCAAUAUUUGUUUUGCUAUCAAGCUUGUGUGGAAAUCUUGAAAUCUCUGCAGACAUAAAUAAGGUCACAUCAAUUUAAUAUCUUGUAUAAAGUCAAUUUUCAAUUAAUAUAUAAAACAUAAUAUAUAAUUUUGUAGAAAAAUAUAUCGUAUUACGCUAUAUAAUACGAUAUUAUGUACAUUAAAUAUUUCGUAUACAAACACGAGAAAAUUUAAAUGACAAAAUAGACAUGAUUAGUGAGAUAUAAUACGCUUAAUUUAUUGCACAAAAUAUGAUUUCUAAGAUUAAUUUAAUAAUUAUAAUAUAUAUACAUAUAUAUAAAUUAGCGAUAUAUACAUUUAUUACAUUAUGAAUAAAAUAUUUUUACAUAUUUUUAAUCGAAGACUUUUCCUCGUUUGGCAUUAUUUUAAAAAAAUAACUAACUUCUAGAUCUUAUGACGAGAAUACAAAGUACAAACACCCUCGGCCUUCGCGCUUCGGUGAUAAACACAAUACCUCGGC